Molecule: ribosomal RNA, 402 nt
Filed under: uncultured bacterium
Lineage: Bacteria
Description: partial 16S ribosomal RNA
Rfam family: Bacterial small subunit ribosomal RNA
Source: RNAcentral
CCUACGGGCGGCAGCAGUGGGGAAUAUUGGGCAAUGGGCGCAAGCCUGACCCAGCAACGCCGCGUGAAGGAAGAAGGCUUUCGGGUUGUAAACUUCUUUUCUGAGGGACGAAGAAAGUGACGGUACCGCAGGAAUAAGCCACGGCUAACUACGUGCCAGCAGCCGCGGUAAUACGUAGUUGGCAAGCGUUAUCCGGAUUUAUUGGGUGUAAAGGGCGGGUAGGCGGGAAAGCAAGUCAGAUGUGAAAACUCAGGGCUCAACCCUGAGCCUGCAUUUGAAACUGUUUUUCUUGAGUGCUGGAGAGGCAAUCGGAAUUCCGUGUGUAGCGGUGAAAUGCGUAGAUAUACGGAGGAACACCAGUGGCGAAGGCGGAUUGCUGGACAGUAACUGACGCUGAGGCGC